GAUGAAGAACGCAGCGAAAUGCGAUAAGUAGUGUGAAUUGCAGAAUUCAGUGAAUCAUCGAAUCUUUGAACGCACAUUGCGCCCCUUGGUAUUCCAUGGGGCAUGCCUGUUCGAGCGUCAUUUGUACCUUCAAGCCUUGCUUGGUGUUGGGUGUUUGUCUCGCCUCUGCGCGCAGACUCGCCUCAAAACAAUUGGCAGCCGGCGUAUUGAUUUCGGAGCACAGUACAUCUCGCGCUUUGCACUCAGAACGACGACGUCCAAAAGUACAUUUUUACACUCUUGACCUCGGAUCAGGUAGGGAUACCCGCUGAACUUAAGCAUAUCAAUAAGCGGAGGA
Molecule: unclassified non-coding RNA, 337 nt
Filed under: soil metagenome
Description: partial contains 5.8S ribosomal RNA, internal transcribed spacer 2, and large subunit ribosomal RNA
Rfam family: 5.8S ribosomal RNA (bases 1-120)
Source: RNAcentral